AGAGUUUGAUCAUGGCUCAGAAUCAACGCUGGCGGCGUGCCUAACACAUGCAAGUCGAACGAGAAAGGGGAGCAAUCCCUGAGUAAAGUGGCGACCGGGUGAGUAACACGUGACUAACCUACCUCCGAAUGGGGAAUAACUCCGGGAAACCGGGGCUAAUACCGCAUAACACCGCAAGGUCAAAGCAGCAAUGCGUUUGGAGAGGGGGUCGCGGCUGAUUAGCUAGUUGGCGGGGUAACGGCCCACCAAGGCGAAGAUCGGUAUCCGGCCUGAGAGGGCGCACGGACACACUGGAACUGAAACACGGUCCAGACUCCUACGGGAGGCAGCAGUGGGGAAUUUUGCGCAAUGGGGGAAACCCUGACGCAGCAACGCCGCGUGGAGGAUGAAGCCCUUUGGGGCGUAAACUCCUUUCGACUCGGACGAUAAUGACGGUACGAGUGGAAGAAGCACCGGCUAACUCUGUGCCAGCAGCCGCGGUAAUACAGAGGGUGCAAGCGUUGUUCGGAAUUAUUGGGCGUAAAGGGCGCGUAGGCGGUGCGGUAAGUCACCUGUGAAAUCUCCAGGCUUAACUUGGAGUCUGCAGGCGAAACUGCCGUGCUGGAGUGUGGGAGAGGUGCGUGGAAUUCCCGGUGUAGCGGCGAAAUGCGUAGAUAUCGGGAGGAACACCUGUGGCGAAAGCGGCGCACUGGACCACAACUGACGCUGAGGCGCGAAAGCUAGGGGAGCAAACAGGAUUAGAUACCCUGGUAGUCCUAGCCCUAAACGAUGAUUGCUUGGUGUAGCCCGGUACCCAAUCCGGCUGUGCCGCAGCUAACGCGAUAAGCAAUCCGCCUGGGGAGUACGGUCGCAAGGCUGAACUCAAAGGAAUUGACGGGGGCCCGCACAAGCGGUGGAGCAUGUGGUUCAAUUCGACGCAACGCGAAGAACCUUACCUGGGCUCG
This 944-nucleotide ribosomal RNA is filed under the name uncultured bacterium. Its description in RNAcentral is "bacterial SSU rRNA". It matches the Rfam family "Bacterial small subunit ribosomal RNA", at positions 8 to 983 of the family's 1533-position model. The record is from RNAcentral.